GUGCCAGCCGCCGCGGUAAUACGGAGGGUGCAAGCGUUGUCCGGAAUCACUGGGUGUAAAGGGUGUGUAGGCGGGAUUGUAAGUCAGAGGUGAAAUCUUGCGGCUCAACCGUAAAAUUGCCUUUGAUACUGCAGUUCUUGAGUCCCGGAGAGGUUGUUGGAAUUCGUGGUGUAGCGGUGAAAUGCGUAGAUAUCACGAGGAACACCAGAGGCGAAAGCGAACAACUGGACGGGUACUGACGCUAAGGCACGAAAGCGUGGGGAGCAAACAGGAUUAGAUACCCCAGUAGUC
Molecule: ribosomal RNA, 291 nt
Filed under: uncultured prokaryote
Description: partial 16S ribosomal RNA
Rfam family: Bacterial small subunit ribosomal RNA
Source: RNAcentral